GGACUACCAGGGUAUCUAAUCCCGUUCGCUCCCCUGGCUUUCGCGCCUCAGCGUCAGAAAAGGGCCAGCACGUCGCUUUCGCCACCGGCGUUCCUUCCGAUAUCAACGCAUUUCACCGCUCCACCGGAAGUUCCACGUGCCCCUACCUCCCUCAAGACAACCAGUAUCCAAGGCCAUUCUCCGGUUAAGCCGAAGGCUUUCACCUCGGACUUGGCUGCCCGCCUACGCGCCCUUUAAGCCCAGUGAUUCCGAACAACGUUCGCACGGUUCGUCUUACCGCGGCUGCUGGCAC
This 292-nucleotide ribosomal RNA is filed under the name uncultured Planctomycetota bacterium. Its description in RNAcentral is "uncultured planctomycete partial 16S ribosomal RNA". Lineage: Bacteria; Pseudomonadati; Planctomycetota. The record is from RNAcentral.